This 443-nucleotide ribosomal RNA is filed under the name uncultured bacterium. RNAcentral's name for it is "partial 16S ribosomal RNA". It matches the Rfam family "Bacterial small subunit ribosomal RNA", at positions 338 to 795 of the family's 1533-position model. The record is from RNAcentral.
CCUACGGGAGGCAGCAGUGGGGAAUAUUGGACAAUGGGGGGAACACUGAUCCAGCGACGCCGCGUGAGUGAAGAAGUAUUUCGGUAUGUAAAGCUCUAUCAGCAGGGAAGAAAGAAAUGACGGUACCUGACUAAGAAGCCCCGGCUAACUACGUGCCAGCAGCCGCGGUAAUACGUAGGGGGCAAGCGUUAUCCGGAUUUACUGGGUGUAAAGGGAGCGUAGACGGCGAGGCAAGUCUGAAGUGAAAGGCGGGGGCCCAACCCCCGGACUGCUUGGGAAACUGUAUGGCUGGAGUGCAGGAGAGGUAAGUGGAAUUCCUAGUGUAGCGGUGAAAUGCGUAGAGAUUAGGAGGAACACCAGUGGCGAAGGCGGCUUACUGGACUGUAACUGACGUUGAGGCUCGAAAGCGUGGGGAGCAAACAGGAUUAGAUACCCUAGUAGUC